Small nucleolar RNA from Lathyrus oleraceus (garden pea), 86 nucleotides. Lineage: Eukaryota; Viridiplantae; Streptophyta; Magnoliopsida; Fabales; Fabaceae. The record is from RefSeq and is a predicted model, not a curated record.
AGCAAUCAGUGAUGACCUUUUUCAUUUAAUAUAUGAUCAAUAUGUGAUUAUUACACCAAAAUCACCAUCUUUCGGCUGAGAUUGCU